This 69-nucleotide transfer RNA is filed under the name Percopsis omiscomaycus. Its description in RNAcentral is "tRNA-Glu". It matches the Rfam family "tRNA". Rfam says of the family: Transfer RNA (tRNA) molecules are approximately 80 nucleotides in length. Their secondary structure includes four short double-helical elements and three loops (D, anti-codon, and T loops). Lineage: Eukaryota; Metazoa; Chordata; Actinopteri; Percopsiformes; Percopsidae. The record is from RNAcentral.
GUUCUUGUAGUUGAUUUACAACGGUGGUUUUUCGAGUCACUAGACCUGGUUAGAGUCCGGGUAAGAAUU